Molecule: ribosomal RNA, 274 nt
Filed under: uncultured bacterium
Lineage: Bacteria
Description: partial 16S ribosomal RNA
Rfam family: Bacterial small subunit ribosomal RNA
Source: RNAcentral
AGACGAAGGUGGCAACCGUUGUUCGGAAUCACUGGGCAUAAAGCGCGCGUAGGCGGCAGCGUAAGUCGGAUGUGAAAUCCCUCGGCUCAACCGAGGAACUGCGUCCGAAACUGCGUAGCUUGAGGACAGAAGGGGAGCGUGGAAUUCCGGGUGGAGCGGUGAAAUGCGUUGAUAUCCGGAGGAACACCGGCGGCGAAGGCGACGCUCUGGUCUGUUUCUGACGCUGAGGUGCGAAAGCCAGGGGAGCAAACGGGAUUAGAUACCCCAGUAGUCC